UACGUAGGGUGCGAGCGUUAUUCGGAAUUACUGGGCGUAAAGCGCGCGCAGGCGGUUCGUUGUGUCUGAUGUGAAAGCCCCGGGCUCAACUUGGGAACGGCAUUGGAAACUGGCGAGCUAGAGUGUGGCAGAGGGGGGUGGAAUUCCGCGUGUAGCAGUGAAAUGCGUAGAGAUGCGGAGGAACACCGAUGGCGAAGGCAGCCCCCUGGGCUGACACUGACGCUCAGGCACGAAAGCGUGGGGAGCAAACAGG
Molecule: ribosomal RNA, 253 nt
Filed under: uncultured bacterium
Lineage: Bacteria
Description: partial 16S ribosomal RNA
Rfam family: Bacterial small subunit ribosomal RNA
Source: RNAcentral